RNAcentral lists this ribosomal RNA (468 nucleotides) under uncultured bacterium. Its description in RNAcentral is "partial 16S ribosomal RNA". It matches the Rfam family "Bacterial small subunit ribosomal RNA", at positions 28 to 507 of the family's 1533-position model. The record is from RNAcentral.
GACGAACGCUGGCGGCGUGCUUAACACAUGCAAGUCGAACGGAAAGGCCCUGCUUUUGUGGGGUGCUCGAGUGGCGAACGGGUGAGUAACACGUGAGUAACCUGCCCUUGACUUUGGGAUAACUUCAGGAAACUGGGGCUAAUACCGGAUAGGAGCUCCUGCUGCAUGGUGGGGGUUGGAAAGUUUCGGCGGUUGGGGAUGGACUCGCGGCUUAUCAGCUUGUUGGUGGGGUAGUGGCUUACCAAGGCUUUGACGGGUAGCCGGCCUGAGAGGGUGACCGGCCACAAUGGGACUGAGAUACCGCCCAGACUCCUACGGGAGGCAGCAGUGGGGAAUAUUGCACAAUGGGCGGAAGCCUGAUGCAGCAACGCCGCGUGCGGGAUGACGGCCUUCGGGUUGUAAACCGCUUUCGCCUGUGACGAAGCGUGAGUGACGGUAAUGGGUAAAGAAGCACCGGCUAACUACGUG